CUGGACGAACGACCAAAGAGCAAAUGAUAUUUGAUUUUUUCCCGGUCAAACAGAAACGAGCUGAGCCAUUCGCUGUUCUUUUCGAUAGCCGAUAUUGUAGGCUUUGGGAAUAUUCAUGUCAUAUUGUUUAUUAUUGAAUCUACAUUAGUUUAAUUUGUUUUAAUACAAAUUCUGCUACUCAUCGUAAAUAUAAUAUUUUAAGUAUCGAUAUAUGGCAUUAAUGAGUUCAUGCUGUUAUUGGAAAUAAGAAGUGAAACCGCGUUAUGGGAGUGCUGCCAGAUCAAUUAAUAACAGCCGUUAGAAUUUAAAUUCUGAAA
Long non-coding RNA from Drosophila mojavensis, 317 nucleotides. RefSeq lists it as uncharacterized. Lineage: Eukaryota; Metazoa; Arthropoda; Insecta; Diptera; Drosophilidae. The record is from RefSeq and is a predicted model, not a curated record. The transcript is spliced from 2 exons.